RNAcentral lists this ribosomal RNA (253 nucleotides) under uncultured bacterium. Its description in RNAcentral is "partial 16S ribosomal RNA". It matches the Rfam family "Bacterial small subunit ribosomal RNA", at positions 524 to 776 of the family's 1533-position model. The record is from RNAcentral.
UACGAAGGGGGCUAGCGUUGCUCGGAAUCACUGGGCGUAAAGCGCCCGUAGGCGGGUCGUUAAGUCAGGGGUGAAAUCCUGGAGCUCAACUCCAGAACUGCCCUUGAUACUGGCGAGCUUGAGUCCGGGAGAGGUGAGUGGAACUCCGAGUGUAGAGGUGAAAUUCGUAGAUAUUCGGAAGAACACCAGUGGCGAAGGCGGCUCACUGGCCCGGUACUGACGCUGAGGUGCGAAAGCGUGGGGAGCAAACAGG